This 1042-nucleotide long non-coding RNA is filed under the name Malus domestica (apple). RNAcentral describes it as "long non-coding RNA (MDOM_LNC011275)". Lineage: Eukaryota; Viridiplantae; Streptophyta; Magnoliopsida; Rosales; Rosaceae. The record is from RNAcentral.
AUUCAAUCAUUGUAUUCAUAUAGGGUCAAGGAGUGUAGCUGCAAAAAAUCAUCAAAAUCGGAGUUAAAAUGACCGUUAAAUCGUGGGUUUUCUUUUUAUAACCGUCGAAAAGUUUUGUCCCGUUACUUGAUCUCUGAAUGUUUGUUUUUUGCAAUUUUUGGCGUAUGCGAUCUCGAAGUAUAUACAAACAUGUUUGACGGUUGGAUCAUUGAAACUAGUUUCAUAGAAUGAGUAUCCCAUCAAAACAAUAGAUUCACUAAGACUUAAGAGUUUAUUCAUACUUUCAUUAAGUAUAACAUAAGAUUUUGUGGUAUCCACUAGUGUAAAUAUUUUAAAUUGAAGAUCGAAUUCAUUCUUUGUAUUCAUAUAGGAUCAAGGAGUGUAGCUGCAAAAAAUCAUCAAAAUCGGAGUUAAAAUAAUCGUUAAAUCAUGAUUUUUCUUUUUCUAACCGUUGAAAAGUUUUGUCCCGUUACUUGAUCUCUGAAUGUUUGUUUUUGCAAUUUUUGGCGUAUGCGAUCUCGAAGUAUAUACAAACAUGUUGGACGGUUGGAUCGUUGAAACUAGUUUCGUAGAAUGCGUGUAUCUCAUCAAAACAAUAGAUUCACUAACAUUUCAAAGUUUAUUCAUACUUUCAUUAAGUAUAACAUAAGUUUUUUUGUAUCCACUAGUGUAAAUAUUUUAAAUUGAAGAUCAAAUUCAAUCAUUGUAUUUAAAAUAGGGUCAAGGAGUGUAGCUGCAAAAAAUCAUCAAAAUCGGAGUUAAAAUGACCGUUAAAUCAUGGAUUUUCUUUUUAUAACCGUCGAAAAGUUUUGUCCCGUUCCUUGAUCUUUGAAUGUUUGUUUUUUGCAAUUUUUGGCGUAUGCGAUCUCGAAGUAUAUACAAACAUGUCUGACGGUUGGAUCAUUGAAACUAGUUUCGUAGAAUGAGUAUCCCAUCAAAACAAUAGAUUCACUAAUACUUAAGAGUUUAUUCAUACUUUCCUUAAGUAUAACAUAAGAUUUUGUGGUAUCCACUAGUGUAAAUAUUUUAAAUUGAAGAUCGA